RNAcentral lists this ribosomal RNA (134 nucleotides) under Acinetobacter baumannii. RNAcentral describes it as "partial 23S ribosomal RNA". The stretch from base 1 to 116 matches the Rfam family "Bacterial large subunit ribosomal RNA", at positions 2799 to 2925 of the family's 2925-position model. Lineage: Bacteria; Pseudomonadati; Pseudomonadota; Gammaproteobacteria; Moraxellales; Moraxellaceae. The record is from RNAcentral.
CUAGGACUUUAUGUCCUCUAAAGAGCCGUUCGAGACUAGGACGUUGAUAGGUUGGAUGUGGAAGCAUAGUGAUAUGUGAAGCUGACCAAUACUAAUUGCUCGUGAGGCUUGACUAUACAACACCCAAGCAGUUG